RNAcentral lists this ribosomal RNA (1358 nucleotides) under uncultured bacterium. RNAcentral's name for it is "bacterial SSU rRNA". It matches the Rfam family "Bacterial small subunit ribosomal RNA", at positions 28 to 1394 of the family's 1533-position model. The record is from RNAcentral.
GAUGAACGCUGGCGGCGUGCUUAACACAUGCAAGUCGAACGGUGAAAGCGGAGCUUGCUCUGCUGGAUCAGUGGCGAACGGGUGAGUAACACGUGAGCAAUCUGCCCCUGACUCUGGGAUAAGCGCUGGAAACGGCGUCUAAUACCGGAUACGAGCUGCGAAGGCAUCUUCAGCAGCUGGAAAGAAUUUCGGUCAGGGAUGAGCUCGCGGCCUAUCAGCUAGUUGGUGAGGUAACGGCUCACCAAGGCGUCGACGGGUAGCCGGCCUGAGAGGGUGACCGGCCACACUGGGACUGAGACACGGCCCAGACUCCUACGGGAGGCAGCAGUGGGGAAUAUUGCACAAUGGGCGCAAGCCUGAUGCAGCAACGCCGCGUGAGGGACGACGGCCUUCGGGUUGUAAACCUCUUUUAGCAGGGAAGAAGCGAAAGUGACGGUACCUGCAGAAAAAGCACCGGCUAACUACGUGCCAGCAGCCGCGGUAAUACGUAGGGUGCAAGCGUUAUCCGGAAUUAUUGGGCGUAAAGAGCUCGUAGGCGGUCUGUCGCGUCUGCUGUGAAAACCCGAGGCUCAACCUCGGGCCUGCAGUGGGUACGGGCAGACUAGAGUGCGGUAGGGGAGAUUGGAAUUCCUGGUGUAGCGGUGGAAUGCGCAGAUAUCAGGAGGAACACCGAUGGCGAAAGGCAGAUCUCUGGGCCGUAACUGACGCUGAGGAGCGAAAGGGUGGGGAGCAAACAGGCUUAGAUACCCUGGUAGUCCACCCCGUAAACGUUGGGAACUAGUUGUGGGGACCAUUCCACGGUUUCCGUGACGCAGCUAACGCAUUAAGUUCCCCGCCUGGGGAGUACGGCCGCAAGGCUAAAACUCAAAGGAAUUGACGGGGACCCGCACAAGCGGCGGAGCAUGCGGAUUAAUUCGAUGCAACGCGAAGAACCUUACCAAGGCUUGACAUAUACGAGAACGGGCCAGAAAUGGUCAACUCUUUGGACACUCGUAAACAGGUGGUGCAUGGUUGUCGUCAGCUCGUGUCGUGAGAUGUUGGGUUAAGUCCCGCAACGAGCGCAACCCUCGUUCUAUGUUGCCAGCACGUCAUGGUGGGAACUCAUGGGAUACUGCCGGGGUCAACUCGGAGGAAGGUGGGGAUGACGUCAAAUCAUCAUGCCCCUUAUGUCUUGGGCUUCACGCAUGUUACAAUGGCCGGUACAAAGGGCUGCAAUACCGUAAGGUGGAGCGAAUCCCAAAAAGCCGGUCCCAGUUCGGAUUGAGGUCUGCAACUCGACCUCAUGAAGUCGGAGUCGCUAGUAAUCGCAGAUCAGCAACGCUGCGGUGAAUACGUUCCCGGGUCUUGUACUCACCGCC